RNAcentral lists this ribosomal RNA (502 nucleotides) under uncultured bacterium. RNAcentral describes it as "partial 16S ribosomal RNA". It matches the Rfam family "Bacterial small subunit ribosomal RNA", at positions 28 to 507 of the family's 1533-position model. The record is from RNAcentral.
GACGAACGCUGGCGGCGUGCCUAAUACAUGCAAGUCGAACGAACCGCGACUAAGUGCUUGCACUAAGUCAAGGUGAGUGGCGAACGGGUGAGUAACACGUGGGUAACCUACCUCAUAGUGGGGGAUAACAGUCGGAAACGACUGCUAAUACCGCAUAGGACAUAGGAUCACAUGAUCCAGUGAGGAAAGGUGGCGCAAGCUAUCGCUAAGAGAUGGACCCGCGGUGCAUUAGCUAGUUGGUAAGGUAACGGCUUACCAAGGCAACGAUGCAUAGCCGACCUGAGAGGGUGAUCGGCCACACUGGAACUGAGACACGGUCCAGACUCCUACGGGAGGCAGCAGUAGGGAAUCUUCCGCAAUGGGCGAAAGCCUGACGGAGCAACGCCGCGUGAGUGAUGAAGGUCUUCGGAUCGUAAAACUCUGUUAUUAGGGAAGAACAUAUGUGUAAGUAACUGUGCACAUCUUGACGGUACCUAAUCAGAAAGCCACGGCUAACUACGUG